AUAGCUUAGUUGGUAGAGCUGUUGCUUAGCAUGCAAGAGGCCCUAGGCUCCAUUCCUAGU
Molecule: transfer RNA, 60 nt
Filed under: Mus musculus (house mouse)
Lineage: Eukaryota; Metazoa; Chordata; Mammalia; Rodentia; Muridae
Also listed under: 1 other name
Rfam family: tRNA
About the family: Transfer RNA (tRNA) molecules are approximately 80 nucleotides in length. Their secondary structure includes four short double-helical elements and three loops (D, anti-codon, and T loops).
Source: Rfam by way of RNAcentral